Molecule: ribosomal RNA, 542 nt
Filed under: uncultured archaeon
Lineage: Archaea
Description: bacterial SSU rRNA
Rfam family: Bacterial small subunit ribosomal RNA
Source: RNAcentral
CAGCAGCCGCGGUAAUACGUAGGGAGCAAGCGUUGUCCGGAAUCAUUGGGCGUAAAGCGCGUGUAGGCGGUUUCGUAAGUCUGCUGUGAAAGUCGGAGGCUCAACCUUCGAAUGCCAGUGGAUACUGUGAGACUUGAGUACGGAAGAGGAGAGUGGAAUUCCUGGUGUAGCGGUGGAAUGCGCAGAUAUCAGGAGGAACACCAACGGCGAAGGCAGCUCUCUGGGACGUAACUGACGCUGAGACGCGAAAGCGUGGGGAGCAAACAGGAUUAGAUACCCUGGUAGUCCACGCCGUAAACGAUGGUCACUAGAUGUGGGGGGUGUCGACUCCCCCCGUGUCGUAGCUAACGCAUUAAGUGACCCGCCUGGGGAGUACGGCCGCAAGGCUAAAACUCAAAGGAAUUGACGGGGACCCGCACAAGCAGCGGAGCAUGUGGAUUAAUUCGACGCAACGCGAAGAACCUUACCUGGGCUUGACAUACCUCUGACCGCCAUGGAAACAUGGCUUCCCUUCGGGGCAGAGAUACAGGAGGUGCAUGGCC